RNAcentral lists this ribosomal RNA (1222 nucleotides) under Candidatus Phytoplasma ulmi. Its description in RNAcentral is "bacterial SSU rRNA". It matches the Rfam family "Bacterial small subunit ribosomal RNA", at positions 162 to 1384 of the family's 1533-position model. The record is from RNAcentral. Lineage: Bacteria; Bacillati; Mycoplasmatota; Mollicutes; Acholeplasmatales; Acholeplasmataceae.
GCUAAGACUGGAUAGGAAACAGAAACAUCUUUUUGUUUUUAAAAGACCUUCUUCGGAGGGUAUGCUUAAAGAGGGGCUUGCGCCACAUUAGUUAGUUGGUGAGGUAAAGGCUUACCAAGAUUAUGAUGUGUAGCUGGACUGAGAGGUUGAACAGCCACAUUGGGACUGAGACACGGCCCAAACUCCUACGGGAGGCAGCAGUAGGGAAUUUUCGGCAAUGGAGGAAACUCUGACCGAGCGACGCCGCGUGAACGAUGAAGUAUUUCGGUAUGUAAAGUUCUUUUAUUGAAGAAGAAAAAAUAGUGGAAAAACUAUAUUGACGUUAUUCAAUGAAUAAGCCCCGGCUAACUAUGUGCCAGCAGCCGCGGUAAGACAUAGGGGGCGAGCGUUAUCCGGAAUUAUUGGGCGUAAAGGGUGCGUAGGCGGUUAGAUAAGUCUAUAAUUUAAUUUCAGUGCUUAACGCUGUCUUGUUAUAGAAACUGUCUUGACUAGAGUGAGAUAGAGGCAAGCGGAAUUCCAUGUGUAGCGGUAAAAUGUGUAAAUAUAUGGAGGAACACCAGAAGCGUAGGCGGCUUGCUGGGUCUUUACUGACGCUGAGGCACGAAAGCGUGGGGAGCAAACAGGAUUAGAUACCCUGGUAGUCCACGCUGUAAACGAUGAGUACUAAGUGUCGGGGAAACUCGGUACUGAAGUUAACACAUUAAGUACUCCGCCUGAGUAGUACGUACGCAAGUAUGAAACUUAAAGGAAUUGACGGGACUCCGCACAAGCGGUGGAUCAUGUUGUUUAAUUCGAAGAUACACGAAAAACCUUACCAGGUCUUGACAUACUCUGCAAAGCUAUAGAAAUAUAGUGGAGGUUAUCAGGGAUACAGGUGGUGCAUGGUUGUCGUCAGUUCGUGUCGUGAGAUGUUAGGUUAAGUCCUAAAACGAACGCAACCCCUGUCGUUAGUUGCCAGCACGUAAUGGUGGGGACUUUAGCGAGACUGCCAAUUAAACAUUGGAGGAAGGUGGGGAUAACGUCAAAUCAUCAUGCCCCUUAUGAUCUGGGCUACAAACGUGAUACAAUGGCUAUUACAAAGAGUAGCUGAAACGCGAGUUUUUAGCCAAUCUCAAAAAGGUAGUCUCAGUACGGAUUGAAGUCUGCAACUCGACUUCAUGAAGCUGGAAUCGCUAGUAAUCGCGAAUCUGCAUGUCGCGGUGAAUACGUUCUCGGGGUUUGU